AUUGAACGCUGGCGGCAUGCCUUACACAUGCAAGUCGAACGGUAACAGGUCUUCGGAUGCUGACGAGUGGCGAACGGGUGAGUAAUACAUCGGAACGUGCCCGAUCGUGGGGGAUAACGAAGCGAAAGCUUUGCUAAUACCGCAUACGAUCUACGGAUGAAAGCAGGGGACCGCAAGGCCUUGCGCGAACGGAGCGGCCGAUGGCAGAUUAGGUAGUUGGUGGGAUAAAAGCUUACCAAGCCGACGAUCUGUAGCUGGUCUGAGAGGACGACCAGCCACACUGGGACUGAGACACGGCCCAGACUCCUACGGGAGGCAGCAGUGGGGAAUUUUGGACAAUGGGCGAAAGCCUGAUCCAGCCAUGCCGCGUGCAGGAUGAAGGCCCUCGGGUUGUAAACUGCUUUUGUACGGAACGAAAAGACUCUGGUUAAUACCUGGGGUCCAUGACGGUACCGUAAGAAUAAGCACCGGCUAACUACGUGCCAGCAGCCGCGGUAAUACGUAGGGUGCAAGCGUUAAUCGGAAUUACUGGGCGUAAAGCGUGCGCAGGCGGUUAUAUAAGACAGAUGUGAAAUCCCCGGGCUCAACCUGGGAACUGCAUUUGUGACUGUAUAGCUAGAGUACGGCAGAGGGGGAUGGAAUUCCGCGUGUAGCAGUGAAAUGCGUAGAUAUGCGGAGGAACACCGAUGGCGAAGGCAAUCCCCUGGGCCUGUACUGACGCUCAUGCACGAAAGCGUGGGGAGCAAACAGG
RNAcentral lists this ribosomal RNA (751 nucleotides) under uncultured Comamonadaceae bacterium. Its description in RNAcentral is "bacterial SSU rRNA". It matches the Rfam family "Bacterial small subunit ribosomal RNA", at positions 28 to 776 of the family's 1533-position model. Lineage: Bacteria; Pseudomonadati; Pseudomonadota; Betaproteobacteria; Burkholderiales; Comamonadaceae. The record is from RNAcentral.